GUCUUAAGUGAUUGUAUUUUGCUAUAUAAAUACAUGAAGUGGCUGAUUCAUCUGUAAAUGAAGAGACUAAAAUCUGAUAACGGCGAAAAAGGCAAAAAAAACUAAUGCUUUAGCAGGCAGAAAGAUUAAAUUCCAAUUGAGGACUGUAUCUAUAGGUAUUUUUCAAUGUGUAUAUAUGUUAGAUUGCUGAGUUAUAUAGAACCAGUGUGGUGGGAGUCUCUCUAGGUUUUGCCCUUUACUCUUCUAAAGUGUAAGAAGUUUUGCUUUUCUUUUUCACAGUAAAGGAUUUUUUCCCCAGAAGUUUUAAGAAUAAAAUAAAUACCUGAGAAAUUACCUGUAAUUCUUUGAUGAAAUUUUAAGAUUUCCUUUAGCCAUGUGAACUAUUUAUUUUUUUCUCUUAUGGAAUUAAGGGAUGUUUUUUUCUUUUUUUAAAGGAAAGCUAUUGGGACGCCUGGCUGGCUCAGCAGUUUAGAGUCUGCCUUUGGCCCAGGGCGUGAUCCUGGAGUCCCAGGAUCCAGUCCCACAUCGGGGCUCCCUGCAUGGAGCCUGCUUCUCCCUCUGCCUGUGUCUCUGCCUCUCUCUCUCUCUGUGUCUCUCAUGAAUAAAUAAAUAAAUAAUCUUUUAAAAAUAAAUAAAUAAAGGAAAGCUAUUUUAAGUUUUUGGCUGUGCUACUCAAAGGCAGCUAGUUACUUGAAUAAUAUAUUUUUAAAAUUUAGGCUCCUUGUUUUAUACCCUUCUGUAAUUUAAAUAAUGGCAGACUCUUUAAAGAAUUUUGGGCGGAGAAGAUUAAAGUAUCUGGGAUUUUCAAGCAUUAAUACAGGAGAUUAGAAUAAGAAAUACUGUCUGGGCUCAUUGCAGUAAUUAUCUCAUUGCUAUUUAAAUAACCCCCUGUUGGCACUAUGGUGGUACAAAUACUUUUGUGAAACAAAAUAGGGUUUGUACUAGAAAACUAGUUCUUAUAGAGAAUUAUCUUUAUAAAUAUUUUGAAAACCUCUAGUGACAAUAUCCCCAAAAUAAUCAUUCUGUGGUUUGUUGUUGUUAUUAUUAUUAUUAUAUUUUGCCUAUCUCUUCUCCAUUACUCUGUAAGUUUCUUAUUGAGCAUCUAACAAAGAAAUAAAUACUUCGCUAAUUUUUUAUCAUUGUGUAAAUCUCUAAAGCCAAAUACUGUAAAGUCUUAAACUGUUUUCCUUACUUGCUUAAAUAAUUAAAAAAGUAAAUAAAAAGGAUUAAAUGUUUCAUGAUUAGGCUCAAAGGAAGGAAAAAGAAUUUAUUGAAUGUAAACUAAUGUGUUUGGCGCUUAAUAGAAACGAAGUUCUUUUAUGUAUGCAUUACAAAAAGGCUGUGAGGAAAGAUUUUACAGAUGAGAGAAACCCAGGAUUCAAAGGGGUUCACCUGAAGUUACCUGUAUCACAUGGAUAUGUUUUUACAGAUUUGAUUGAAAAGUGCUUAUUCUUUUUAGUCUCUCAUUGCUGAAUAGUAUUUUAAACAUGAUAGUUCUUAUUCUGAAUACUACUUCAAAUAUAAAUAUUGGAGUGGAGAUAAAGCAAUAAUCCAGCAAUCUGAUAUGCUUAAGUGUUUCUUGGUAAGGAAGGAGAGAAGGAGGAAUCUGAAUUUUUCCAUCACUGAGAUUAUCUGAGUAAGAGAAAUCCCAGUAAACCCACUUAGCUGAUUAAUAUAUAUCCUUUUGUAUCAGAUAAAUAUUAAAUAACGAUAGUACAAUAGCUUCAUUACGUCUAGUUACUGUUUGUCGUUCCGUGAUCAUGUGGUUCCUUUUUUUAAUGAAAGUUGAUUAGAAUCUUAAGAAAAAUCAAAAAAGAUUUAUUUCCCAUUCUACUUGGUGCUAAAUAAAUUAUUUCUACAGUUCCAGUUUCUAAGAAUUCUGUAAUUUAAAAUAAGCACGGGAGGAGGGCACCUGGCUGGCUCAGUCAGUAGUGCAUGCGACUCUUGAUCUCAGAGUUGUGAGUUCAAGCCCCACGUUGGGUGUAGAGAUUACUUAAAAAUAAAAUCAUAGGAAUGCCUGGAUGGCUCAGUGGUUGAGCAUCUGCCCUCGGCUCAGGGUGUGGUCCCGGGGUCCCAGGGUCCCAGGAUUGAGUCCGACAUCGGGCUCCCUGCGUGGAGCUUGCUUCUUCCUCUGCAUAUGUCUUUACCUCGCUCUGUGUGUGUCUCUCAUGAAUAAAUAAUCUUUUAAAAAAUAAAAUCAUAAAAAAAACGCACGUGAAUAUGAGUUAGGUGGGAAGGGUACUUGACCAGGAGGUAGGAGGUUUGGAUUCUCAUCCAGUUCUUUAUCACUGUGAGAUUUUGUGCUUAUUGCCCUUGUCUCAGGGCCUUACAUAAAGGUAGAGUUAAUCCUCUUGUCCACCCACUUGCUUAAGUUAGAAUGAAGAGCAAAGGAGAAGAUCUGAAAGUGCUUUGAACUAGAGUAUUAUAGAGUAAUAAUACUUAACUUUUAAAAAAUGACAUAGAACCCUUGGAAAGCUGAGAUCUCUUAAAAAUGUUUUGAAACGUUAGGGGAACAUGAAUCUAAAUCCUCUUCAGGACUGUCUAGAUCAUGAACUUUAGCUAUGGGCUAAGGAAAAAGCAGAGAUAAGCAUGAUCUAAAAUGUUAGCUAAUCAUCAAAAGUUAUAAUUCACUUCAAAUUUUGUUUUUGUUCUGGGGCUCUCCAGGAGUAUAAAUAGCACAUAGGUGAUUUGAAUGUAUUUAUUGAAAUCCUUAUAUUUGAAGGACUUACCUAUUUUCCAAGGAUGAAAUACAUUAAACAGCUUUGAACUGGAUGAUCUUUGGUUUGUCAUUUUGUGGUUUAGAGGCUCUUUUGGCUUUUGCCUAUGUGUCUAAGUACUCUCCCCCAUGGUUGGACCCCUUAGAGUGUUUUAAGUGCUCUCAGGACAGCAGUCACUUAGCAUGGCGGAGCCACUGGCGGGGCUCUAGGCAGUGUCUUUCUACUCCUUACCUGGGAUGAGUCACCUCAUGGCCUCCUGUUGCAGUAGGCUAGAUCCUAGAAUGCAUAAGCAUGUACCCGUGGCCAAAUAUGGAAUUCACUCAAAAUUCUCAAGCAUAUGUAAGAUGCCAGUUCUUAGAGUAUUAAAAAUCAGUAGACCAAUGUUUAGUAAGUAGAGCUCUAGCCUUGCAGUAAUCUUUUAUUUCUUAAGAAAUGGCAUUACUGGCUAAUGUGGUUAUAGCACAAAAUUAAAAACUGAUCUUCAGGUUAUUCCUACUUUUCUACAGAUUAAAAAGCUAAUUGCCUUUUAUCCAAAUUCUGUAUAUUCAUAAUGUCUUCCCAGCCCUUCUGGUUCCUUUUUUUAAGAUACCCUCUUUUUGUAUCUGAAAUUAGGUGAUUGCUGGAGCAGUUAGUGGUGAUUGAAAAGGGCUGAUGAUGCUUUCUGAAUGCUUAGUGUUAUUGAUUCUGGUACAUAUCCUAACCCAGUGGUUGGUUUGUUUAUUUCUUAACUGCAGCUCUAGUCAGGAAUACAUUUUACAUUGUCAUUUAGUAUGCAUGAAUCACCUAAAAUAAGUUGCAUGAAAUAAUAAUUCCCCUUACCAUAUGUAUUUCAAUAUCUUCCAUUUCACUUUUUUUAACGUGCAUCAUGAUCCACUAAAUGAAUUAACAUGACUUGCCAGAGUUUCAAACUAUAGUCUGAAAAAGUGAUCUUCAAGCUAUAUGAAAAUUUUUACUGUCAUCUUAUGAUUUGUAAAAUACAUUGGGAUGCAUUCAUUUUAAUUUGUACAUUUUCAAACUGUAAUAAAGUAGACUCUUCAAACAGGUACCCAAAAUGCAAUCCUUCAUCUAGAAAAAAAAAA
This 3796-nucleotide long non-coding RNA is filed under the name Canis lupus familiaris (dog). Its description in RNAcentral is "lncRNA (ENSCAFG00000053337.1)". The stretch from base 1911 to 1983 matches the Rfam family "tRNA". Lineage: Eukaryota; Metazoa; Chordata; Mammalia; Carnivora; Canidae. The record is from RNAcentral.